GACGAACGCUGGCGGCGUGCUUAACACAUGCAAGUCGAACGGAAAGGCCCUGCUUUUGUGGGGUGCUCGAGUGGCGAACGGGUGAGUAACACGUGAGUAACCUUCCCUUGACUUUGGGAUAACUUCAGGAAACUGGUGCUAAUACCGGAUAGGAGCUCCUGCUGCAUGGUGGGGUUUGGAAAGUUUCGGCGGUUGGGGAUGGACUCGCGGGUUAUCAGCUUGUUGGUGGGGUAGUGGCUUACCAAGGCUUUGACGGGUAGCCGGCCUGAGAGGGUGACCGGCCACAUUGGGACUGAGAUACGGCCCAGACUCCUACGGGAGGCAGCAGUGGGGAAUAUUGCACAAUGGGCGGAAGCCUGAUGCAGCAACGCCGCGUGCGGGAUGACGGCCUUCGGGUUGUAAACCGCUUUCGCCUGUGACGAAGCGUGAGUGACGGUAAUGGGUAAAGAAGCACCGGCUAACUACGUG
Molecule: ribosomal RNA, 468 nt
Filed under: uncultured bacterium
Lineage: Bacteria
Description: partial 16S ribosomal RNA
Rfam family: Bacterial small subunit ribosomal RNA
Source: RNAcentral